Long non-coding RNA from Schistocerca americana (American grasshopper), 955 nucleotides. RefSeq lists it as uncharacterized. The record is from RefSeq and is a predicted model, not a curated record. The transcript has 4 exons. Lineage: Eukaryota; Metazoa; Arthropoda; Insecta; Orthoptera; Acrididae.
GAUGCAGAGUGGAAGAUGGAACUAGUAUGACAACACAGUUGAAGCUUGCCGCAUGGAAGCUGAGAGCGACGGGACGUACGUCAGAAAGCCAAAGUCUAAUGCUGCCAGCUCGUGCGUACUGCUGCACCUUCCCGGAACCCAGUGAUGUGGAAAACUACCAGUAGCAGCAAUACUGUGCAUCCAUCCAUUCAGCUUGUCUGCUAUGAAGAUGGACAGUCCGAUGUGACCAGAACAAGAGUGUCCUGAACCUUUUAAGUGAUGUGACACUUUUCAUCAACAGCAGCCUGUGUGAGAAGAGAAAGCCAUGGUCCUGUACAAAAUGCGUCACUGGGACCCAGUUGCUGUUUUUGGUCAAAUGGCAGACGAGUGUGGUGGUGUGAAGCAGAAUGAAGAAGCAGAGUGGGGUGAAAUGCAGGCCAUGAAAGACACCAUGGAACAUCUAACCCCCACUGCCAUUUUACUUUCAAGCAAAAUUUUCAAGAUACAUCUCUUCAGUACCAACGAUCUUUAUUUGUGUGACUUGGCACUGGAAGAAUUCACAGAUAGUUUGAUAAAUCGUGGAUCUCCUGGUGCCAAAGCAUACAUAUAAAAACUGCUACAAUGCGGAGUGGAAAUGCAUCGCAAAUCCUUCAGUAAUACAUUAGAACAUUGUAUUGUAGUGAAAUAUUUGAAGCAAUAAUAUUUGUAUGUAAAUAAAUUUGAAUAACAAUUUCAGAAGUGUAUUAACUCAUUUUUAUAGUAAGAUGACUAAGCGAGACUUAUACUAAUGCUGCUCACUGAACUAAUUAUGGAGUUCCCAUUUUACAUAACACAGGAGAAAGAUAAGCAUCCACUGUUGUCUGUAGCUAUUUAUCGUAAUUCAAAAUAAAACCUAAGUUAUUCUGUUAUGGAGAGCAUGUUCAGCAUACAUAUUUCAGUAUGUAGGAAGGAUUGAGAAGAAAAUCAUUGUGCUACA